RNAcentral lists this unclassified non-coding RNA (316 nucleotides) under Hevea brasiliensis (rubber tree). The record is from RNAcentral. Lineage: Eukaryota; Viridiplantae; Streptophyta; Magnoliopsida; Malpighiales; Euphorbiaceae.
CUGGCCAGGUCCAGCCCCUCUCUUGCGCUGCCUGUCCCUCCUGAACUGCUCAUCAUUUCUAACUCUCUCUACUGGGGUCCUAUAUACUGGCUGGGGAGGGGGUGGCAUAUCUCUGGUGACCUGACAGAGCAAUUGAGUCAUUUGCUCUAGGAAGGCUUGCUGUGUCCUUACUAAAGUACCCAACGAUGGUUCUGCUCUACUGCUACUGCGCCCCUGACUACACGCAGGUGCAGGUGCGUGACUCUCUACUUCCUCCUCUAUCGGUUCUGGAGGUCCGUGCUCUGAAGGAUCAGAUGUCAUCGAUCCUCCAGUUUCU